Long non-coding RNA from Artibeus jamaicensis (Jamaican fruit-eating bat), 1198 nucleotides. RefSeq lists it as uncharacterized. The transcript has 3 exons. The record is from RefSeq and is a predicted model, not a curated record. NCBI's taxonomy places the organism in Eukaryota, Metazoa, Chordata, Mammalia, Chiroptera, Phyllostomidae.
UCGGGCGCAGUACCGGAACCGUGCUGCUGCGCCCCAGGGACCAGCCCUUCCUCCCGCGCUUUCUUGUUUCCUCCCGCGCCUCGCCCGAUGGGGCCCGCGCUUUGUGCAGAUGCAGAGCUGGAACCAGGCGGUGUGGACACAAAGGCAGGGCCUUAGGGUUGUGCAGAGUGCGACGGAGCUGAGACGAGCCCCACCCGGAGAGCGCAAAGCAGUGCCGGAGUCGCGGGGACCAAGAAGGGAGGGCCCCUGGAAUUUACCCGAGAGUCAGGCUUUAUAAAAACCCUUUCCCGGCAGCGGUUCAUUUUAACAACUGUCCUCAAGCUCCAGUCGCUUAAGCCAGGGGCAGAUGCACUUACCCCACGUGCAGGGGGAAAGUCCUGACCCGUCUGAGUGCCACGGAGAUGGCCGACAUUUCCAGAAGGGACUUCGUUGAGAAGGAAGAAGAAACACAGGCGCACACUCAGAACCGGCCCCUGUCGUUUCUGGCUCAUCAGCAGCGUCACCAGCAUCACAGGGCUCGCUGACAGACGAGGGCACCUUGGCGGGCACCAGCCGCUAGGCCAGCCUAGGUGGACCACGACCACUUGGAAAUCUUAAAUCUGCCGUCACAGUAACAUGAUCGGGGCCCAGUGGCUGGUUCUGCACGUUUGCCGAGAUGAGAGCUGCAAGCUCGCGUGGUGACCUUCGCUUGUGUGGUGACCUUCGGCUUCCAGCCGGCGUUUGGCCAGAUUCUCCUGUGUCUCUGUGGCUUCAGCCUUGGCCUUUGCCAAGUGGAAUAGCUGAGCACUCAGUGUCCUUUCCAGCACCUCAGACUGAACGUGAGUGAUGACGGCAACUGGAUAGAUUUCCACCCUGUCCCACCAGUGAACCGGUCUGCAGUAACAGAGUCACGGCAAGGCAUCCGCAGUGGUUGGUACUCCGAACACCUGCUUUCCAGGUGAGGGGUGCCAAAUUCUAGCAGUAACUGGAAGCUCAAGAUCCGAUGAUGGACUUUUUAAUGUUGCAAUGCUAACAAUCUGUUGAAGUGUAUAGGAUUAUAUUUUUUAACAUUGCAAAAGUGAAAUGCUAUAAUAAUUAUUGAAGGUUAUGAAGGUUAGUAAUUAUUGAAGGCUGAUUCUGUGGAAUAAAUGAGAACUUUCAAAUAGUUAAAUAAAUAUAUGAACAGUUAAUGUCAAUAUUGAGAAAAUAUUACCCAGAU